This 69-nucleotide transfer RNA is filed under the name Ictidomys tridecemlineatus (thirteen-lined ground squirrel). RNAcentral's name for it is "Spermophilus tridecemlineatus (thirteen-lined ground squirrel) tRNA". It matches the Rfam family "tRNA". From Rfam's summary of the family: Transfer RNA (tRNA) molecules are approximately 80 nucleotides in length. Their secondary structure includes four short double-helical elements and three loops (D, anti-codon, and T loops). Further hydrogen bonds mediate the characteristic L-shaped molecular structure. tRNAs have two regions of fundamental functional importance: the anti-codon, which is responsible for specific mRNA codon recognition, and the 3' end, to which the tRNAs corresponding amino acid is attached (by aminoacyl-tRNA synthetases). tRNAs cope with the degeneracy of the genetic code in two manners: having more than one tRNA (with a specific anti-codon) for a particular amino acid; and 'wobble' base-pairing, i.e. permitting non-standard base-pairing at the 3rd anti-codon position. Lineage: Eukaryota; Metazoa; Chordata; Mammalia; Rodentia; Sciuridae. The record is from Rfam by way of RNAcentral.
GGGCUUGUGGCUCAGCAGCAGAGCACUUGCCUAGCAUGUUAGAAGCCCUGGGUUCGAUCCUCAGCACCA